GUUUUAUAUAGUUUCUAAGCCCGUAGGCCUUGUUUUAUACAUUCAAUAAGAUUGUUAUAUGUGUUUGUGUGAAGGGAUUAACAAAGGGCAAUCUCCUUGGGCUCUCCCUCGGAAGGGGAAACCCUUGGAUCACGCCCUUUGAUAAUUCUUGUAGUGCACAGGGGUUGAAUGGAUGGUUAAAUUGAGAGCAGAUGAGCACAAUGCUUCGGAACCCAACACAAGGAAAGGCCCAAACCACCAGCAUCAAAUCCACUUCAAAAUACAUUCAGUAAUGAUCCUUCCGCAGGUUCACCUACGGAAA
Molecule: unclassified non-coding RNA, 301 nt
Filed under: uncultured fungus
Lineage: Eukaryota; Fungi
Description: sequence contains ITS1
Source: RNAcentral